GGGCAACAUCUUGAGACCCCAUCUCUAAACAAAAUUUAAAAAUUAGCCGGGUGCGGUGGUGUGCUCCUGUGGUCCCAGCUACUCAGGAGGCUGAGACGGGAAGAUCACUCGAGCCCAGGAGGUGGAGGCUGCAGCGAACUGAGAUCAUACCACUGCACUCCAGCCUGAAUGACGGAGCAAGACCUUGUCUCUCUGGGGAAAAAAAACCUGUAAACACUGUUCCUACCUUGUGGGCCGUACCCAGACUAGCUGCUGGCAGGUCUGGUCUUUGGGCCUACAGUGGUGGCCCUGGUGUAGGGGCAGCCUCCCCCUUCGCUUUGAGCAGUGGCCUUCGUUCUGCAGCCAUCCAGUCACUGCUGGCUUGAUCUCAUCCCAGCUGGCGAUGGAUGGUGCCCAGCUGGCGAUGGAUGGUGCCCACUCGAGACCCCGCCACUGAGCACCAAGGUUGGGGGCGGCUCAGCCUCGGCCCUCACCACGCUCUGAAGAAACAGGCCUUGGAACUGGUUUCUGAAAAGUCACUCCUGGUCCAGUAACUUCUCCUCUAACUGGGCACCUUCUUUUUUAGCACGUGCAUCUGUUUGUGAGUCUGGACUCCUGGGUGGUCUGGGCAUCUGCCUGGGCCUCCUCUGUCUUCCCCGCCCCGCAACCUGUCUCGGAGAAUGUUCCCUCCGCCCCGAGUGUUUUUGCAGCCCCUCCUGACAGCCCCGCCGAGGUGAAGCUGUCUCUUCUGCUCUUGUGAUCUGUCCUUUUGAUUUCCUGCCGCCUGCCUGCUCCUCGUGAAGAGCCGCCUCCUGGGGAGGCCACUCCAGGCGGCCACACCGGCACAGAACUCGUGCACCCAGCUCCCAGGCCCAGCCGGACGCGCUAUUUGCAUAAUGGUUAAUUGAUUGUGGCUCAGACUAAUUGGUCAACAGAGCGGAUUGCCAAUAAACCGGCACCACGUUCCAGGAGUGGAAUGGGACUAGAGGCCGUCUAAAUUGCCUGCCAGGAGGAGAUGCAGAAGCCACUGCGCUCACCGCUGCUUGGAACUGUCUUUGCACGCAGGAAGUGGACCCCCCAGAACCAGCCCUUGCACGGCCUGGCCUCCCUGCCCCAGCCGCCCCCUCGCUCCUAGUCACGACCUGCUCCCCCCAGGAGCCCCCUCCCGCCCUCUCCCGUGCACUGCCAUUCUGGGGGCUGCCUUCCCCCAGCAGCGAGCCUGAAAAACAAAUGAAGGCAGCUUCCCAAGGAUGUAGUUUUCUUUAAAGCCUUCAGUAUGUAAAACAAGGCUGAUUCGCUUAUUUUUUUUUUUUUUUUAGUCAUCGGGGGUGCUUUUCUCUGGAGAGGCGGAUGGGUGACUCACGUUUCAAAGCCCAGGCUGCCCCUCCCGCCCCCGGGGAGGUGGUUGGUUCUUCCCUGAGCAGUGCUCUCUCCACAUGGCCUGCCUUCUCCCCUGACCCAGGCUCCCUCCUCAGGGAGUAUCAUGGGGCCAGGGCAGCCGUGUCUGAGCAUCUGUAGCUCAGGCUGGAUCGGGAGACACGGUGGACUGACUGGCUCUGUCUCCCAGACAAGGGGCUUGUGGACACAGGCUGGAUCCUUCUCUGGUGGGGGGAGCAUCCUGGACCCUGCAGGGUGCUGAGCAGCGUCCCUGGCCUCCACCCACUCCAUGCCAGGAGCACCCCCCAAGUCGUGACAACCACAGAUAUCCCCAGACGUCGCCCAGUUCCGCGGGUGGGAACUCCUGCCCUAGACCAAGGGAUGGCAUCAGGGUGGGCGCCAUGCCCUCACCCCAGUGCAGUCCAGCCUUCCCUGCCCUCAGCGUGUCUGUGGGACGACCCCACGUGUUUACCAGGUGCCCUGUGGGGUGCGGAUGGUUCGGCACAGCAGCCUGACCUCAGAGGACAUGGCUUGCUCCCUGCCCGCCACCUUACACGGGUUUCUUCCGGAGCUAAAUCUUGUCGGGCGAGCGUUGGGGGCUGUUUGUAUUCUUCCCCUGAUGGAUGGGUCGCCUAAAACGGCAGCCUGGCUCCUGGUGGGUUGUGUUGCUGUGCGUUCCUUCGCCUUGCCUGAGCCGGAGCCCUCACAGUGCUCUCUGGCACCCACGCGGCGCUCCUCCGUGCAGACUCUCCACGCGAGAAGCGCCAUGUACACAUGCUCCAGCAUGUACGCGCCCCCUGCAGGACAUCUGUGCGCCCGCCUCACCACAGCCUCCCUGGCCCACGGCUGCUCUGUGAGCCCGGCUGGGCCCAGGCCUCGUCUCCCCUACCCCUCCGAGCUCCGUGCUCCCUGUCCCCUCCAGCUCUGCCUUGGCCUGUCGCCCCCGCAGCAGUGCAGGACACCACCACGCCUCUGGCCCUGACUCCCGCCAGGGCUGGCGCACCCCAGCUGCGUUCCUGAGCCCUCCCCACCAACAGGGACCUCAGCCCUCAGGGACAGAACCUCACAAGCACAGGGACCUGCCAGCCCCUGCAGGGAGCGUGCAGCCUCAGGGACUCACUCACUGUCUCCUGUCUCUUUCCUAGAGCUGCUGUUCAUUUUCUCAAAGGUGAAAUUCCUCAGCACAGGGUCUAGUCUUGGGGGCGGGGAGCGCUGGGCCACUUGGGGGCAGGGGGUGGGGGGGCGGCUCUGAGGGCUCAGUCUGGGGCCAACCUCCCAGCCUUCCCUAAGCCUGGGGCAGCCCCAGUCCUCCCCGCCCUGUGAGAAGCCCUGAGCCAGCGCGGCACUGAGAGCUGACGGUCCCACUCUGGCUGCUGCAGGUGGCCCGUGUUACUGGGUGACAGGGCCGGAGGCCGUCCACCCCGCCUUCUGCCAUACAAGCUGCAAAGGACACCUGCUUCCACCUUGGAAAUAUUAGUGCAGUUAUCUGAACUACGUCCCGACAUUUGGCUCAUAGGAAUGAGCCCAGGGGCGUCCAGUUAAGCCUGGCAGGCUAAGUGCUUAUUUAUCUCCACUCUCUCCUGAAACGCCCCUGAAACGCCACAGAGUGAAGUGCAGAGAACAGGAGGGGGGGCAGUGGCAGCUGAGCAUGUCUACAGGCUUUGAAAAGCAGAGAAGGGUGGGCAGGAGACCUCCUGGGCCAGCGACCAGGAGGACAGCCAGCAGGGAGCGGCUGGUCUGCACCACGGGGCCGCAGAAAGACACAGUGGGCAGACGUGGGCAGCUCCUGGGGGGCUGCAGGGGGAACGCACCACGGGGCUGCAGAAAGACAGCAGGCAGACAUGGCAGCUCCUGGGGGGCUGGAGGGAUGCGGGGAUAACCAGCAGAAGGCAGUGGGUGGCUCUGGGCAGGAGGGAGGCGCCUUCCUGAGGUUGGCAGUGGGGCCCAGCUGCCAGCCUCACGUCCCCCCACCCCCAAGGCCAGAAGAGACAAUAGAGGGGGUGGGGUCCUCUCCCAGAGAACAAAGGGGCCCAGUAGAGCAAAGCCACAGAUGCAGAUACUGGGGCUCCCCUAAAGUCACAGGCUCCUACCCUCAGCAGCCCCUGCCACUGCCUUCACCAGGCCCAUCUCACACACGGCUUGUCACCGUGCACAGAGGGAUCAACGGCCAGGGGUCCCCACACAUUGGCGGCCACGCUCCCAUGACAAAGCAGGGCCUGCACAGCGAAGAAGGGAAGAGCUCCGAGGAAGGAGGAUGCAGUGAGCGUGGGGCCCUGGAGCGGUCCGGGAUUUUGCAUUAUGGAAGAAGAGCCAUUGCUGUGAAGAAGAAACAUUGCAGGAACGAGUGACUCUCGGAUGUUACCAUCUAGAGGAGAGAAGCGCCCUGGUGGAUUGGGAGGCUCUUGAAGAAGCCCCUCCCACAGCACAGACGGACCGACAGAGCUGGAAGAUAUGAAGGAUCAGGAAGUCAGAGGCAUAGUCCAGGAAAUCUAGCCCCUGAUUGGAGUUUCAGAAAAAAAGAAAAGUAUCCCAGGACCCAAAUACUUUGCAUUUCCAGGUUUAAAAGUCCGGAAAGUCCACCCAAGAAUGGAAAUUACCCAAACGACAACACAUCGCUGUGAAAUUUCACAACUUCUGGAUUAAACAAAGGCCCUGAAAGCUUCCAGAGCAAACAGAUCACUAAACAGCUCACCAGACUGGGGCUGGGCAUGGUAGCUCACGCCUGUGAUCCCAGCACUGUGGGAGGCCAAGGCAGGAGGAUCUCUUGAGGCCAAGAGUUCGAGGUCAGCCUGGGCAACAUAGCUAGACCCUGUCUCUACAAAAAAAAAAAGAACAGGAGACCCUAUUAGCAUUGGAUCUACAAUCAUAAUGCCAUAAACUAAAAGACAAAGGAAAAAGGCCUUCAAAAGUCAGAAGAGGAAUAAUUCUCCCCAAAUCUUUCACCCAGCCAAAUUGUCAAGAAAUGUGUGAGGAGAAUAAGGAUCUCUUUAGACACACAGAGUCUCGUAUUCCAUCUCCUUUCUCAGGAAGCUGCUGCGGGAUGUGUUCCAGCUAAACAAGGAUGUAAACCAAGGAAGCCAUGGGAUUGAGGAAACAAGAUCUAACCCAGGAGAGUCAAGGGGAGUCUCAAGAUCAUGGGAGAAGGAACCAAGACCCCUAGGGUGUCAUGGAGAGAAGGGGACACCCUGCACAGGAGACCACAGCACGAAUUUAAGAGCAACGGCAGGGAGCUCAGAGAUACCAAGGAAGCUAGGUGUCUUCCUGAGGCCAGUUCCAGACCCCUAUUGGGGGGGUUGGGGAAUGCAGCCCGAGUUGCUCUGUGGCUCAUGGAUGCACAAUGUUUAUGGGGCAUAAAAGCGUACACGUGGAAUUUGGCUGCAGUGGAAGACAGUGGCAGGUGCAGGGAGAGAAGGGGACGGUCAUGGAGGCGAGCAAGGACGGCCACACCCUCAGCACCUGUGCCGGGAGCCAGACCCAGAAAUAAGCAUCGGGUGCAGAAACACGCGAAAGGGGAUGAAGAUGUCAGGGUCAGGAAGAGGCGUGCCCUUAGGACCCCGCAGAUGCCCCAAGUGAUGGAUGCCUCUCUGCCGUGGGCUGUGCCCCCCUUGCUGUGUCUGUGUAUUGAGCCCUACCCAGUUCCAUGUAGUGUGGGACCCAGGGGUCUCAGCCUGGCACUGCUGCAGGUAGGAAAGGGCUGGGCUGCAAGGAUGAGGCCCCAGAGCUCUGGCUGGACACCAGGACAGUCCUGGGCCCUCUGGGGCAGACACAGUAAGGCUUCAAGGCUGUGGGGGUACACCUGGAAGGCUGUAGCAGGGGAGGGCCAUGGUCAGAAGCGACCUCUAGGGUGGGUUUUCAGGGUGGGAGUGGAGGGAGGGACUGCAGUGGGUGGGAGAAGGGAGUAUGGAGCUGGAGGCCGCCAAGGCCAGGUGAGUGGAGUAGGAGGGCACCCUUCUGCUGGUGGUGUCUGGGACCAGGGCGGGUCCACUGUAGGAUCCUGGCCCAGCAGCCCUGGGGCAUUCCCAGACCAGGAGGGCAGCCCACCUUGGGAUGACAGUGGUUACAAGAGCCAGUUGCACCCAGCGCCAAUCUGAAGCUUCCUAUUCCUGAGCCUGCUAUCUCCACAUGGGGCAGGCACCCAGCAUUUCCCUAGCCCUCAAGUGGAGCCUGAGGCUGCCUGCCCGGAGCCGUCCUUGGGCUGCUGUUAUGGAGAAUGUUCUCUGGAGGGCAGGGGCAGCUCCCGUGUCCCCCACCCACCUCCUGCUCCCUGUGUUAGUGACUCUGGCCCCACGCCCGCCCCUGCCUGCCUCCCGCCCCCGCCCGGCUGCCCCACAGCGACCUUGUGUGCAGCAUGCUGUGUGAUGCCAUGCCUCUGGGCCACCCGCUUUCUGCCUUGAGUCAUUGUGGUGGGCCAUGCUGCAGACGUCGGGGAGCACUGAUUCUAGCGAGUUAGGCAGCUGAGGAGCAAGGACUGGCAGUGACUAGUGUGCUAGGAAGGCUUCCUGGAGGAGGCGCCCCAGAAGCCAGCAUGGAGCACAGGGCGGGCAGAGUGGCUGGGAGCAGCGGUGGGCAGGGGUCAGGUCCGAGUGUCCUGAGGGAGCAUGGGCUGCUGCUGGCCCAUGUGACAGCCUGGCUCAGGCAGAGGCGAGGAGGUCCUGGUGACAGAAGCCCCGCCAGCGGGCCCACCCCACCCCCAUCAGAUGAACCUGCCCCACCCUGGUGACCACUUGGUCCUUGGAGGGGCAGCUGCCACAGGGACCCCUGUGGGAUUGAGGUGACCGAGUCUGAGCCCACAGGGACAGGGGACACGGGAAGCACCCAGAAGCCGCAGCCGGCAUUGGUAAUUGUCCUGGAAACACUGGCGCUCCCAGCUCUGCCUGGCUGCUGGCGGGCUUGACGCGGCUGGCUCUCAACUGGGAAGGGGAGAAAGGCCUCCGGGGGGCCGGGCUGUGCAGCCUCAAGCUCAUGGCCUAGUGAGGCCCCUGGCCAGGCCAGGGCUUAGGGCAGCUGCAGGGGGUGGGCCUGGAGGAGGUGUAGACAUCACACGCCCAGGGGAGGCGCCAGGCCUCGGCUUCUCUGCACUCCCGGCUUCUGCCUGAGCUCCCUGGGAGCCACCCGCUCCGCAUCUCCAAAAACUUUUGCUUCCUUCCUGGAAAGGCCCUGGAGGUCCCCGGGGGAACCUGGUGCGAGGCCCUGGCCGCUCAGCUGCAGGUUCACCCGGCUGUCACUUUUCCUCCUUCCUUUUUCAGCUCCCCCCCUCUCAUUUCUAAGAAGUGCUAGCUCAGCCAAGCUUGUAAGCCUUGGGCUGAAUCCCUCACUUGGGGCUGGUGUGCAGGGACCGGGACCUCCCUGAUGUACCCCGGGAUUGUGGGUAUCCAGGCUGGGCAUACAGGAUGCGCCUCCUCUUGGCCAACGCCUGCCCUGUGAGCAGAUCCUGGGCUCGGGGUGCAGAGGAGGCCCUGGCAGACCCUGGGGCGUGGGCACAGGUCAGAGCAGCAGAGUGUGAGCUGGGGCUCCCAUGCGCCUCAAAGGCUGCAGAGAGAGGACCCAGGGAGUCGGGGACAGAGCCAGGUGCCCAGGACCAGGUGUCCUGGGGAGUUGAGCAGAA
Molecule: non-coding RNA, 6961 nt
Organism: Chlorocebus sabaeus (green monkey)
Lineage: Eukaryota; Metazoa; Chordata; Mammalia; Primates; Cercopithecidae
Source: RefSeq, a predicted model, not a curated record